CGUGUCAGAGCUCGAGCAGGAUUCAAGUCUCCUAACCAGUGCACUGCCUCUUCACUUGCCAGUGCCACCUCCGGAGGGGCAGUCUGGGAGCUUGUGUGUCUAGCACUGGUGGGAAAGUUGGCAACAAGCCUCCAGGGGGCCAAGCCUCCUGCUUCCUUCCUGAUCGCUCCUAUACCUGGGGCCCCGCAGGUGCCUCCUCCUUGGCAAGGGGCAAGGAAUGGGAGCAGAUCUUGGCCUGAGCCUCUCCCAUCCGCCACUGGACAUGGAGCCUUCCCACCUCAAGGCUCACGUGCCCUUGCCCUGACGUUGACGGAGGGCCAUGCUGGGUGGCUUCCCGAAUUGCCUCUUAGCCUCCAUGCCUGUGUUCAUGCUGUACCUCCGUCCUGGGCCACAUCUACAGCCACCUGCUGGGAAACCUCCCCGGAGCUCCGCCAGGACGGGAUUUCGAAGGCCUGUCUGGGAAAGUUGCAGAAAUCCUCUGUGGAAUCAUCUGGAACACUGGUUGGAUUUCAGGACACAUCAGGAUUUUCUACCCCCAGGCCCACCCGCCUUGGUGGUCUCCAGUUCUCAGUGCACAUCUUAGGAUGCUUUGCAGUCGUGAAGGCUUUGGGGUGAGGGCGACAAAUGGCUCUGCAGAGACACAAAAGUGCGUUUUAAUUAACGUCGCUGGUUUGCCUGCUCCGUCUGCUUCAGAGACUUGGUCUGAGAAGCCAACUCUCCCUUGCUGUCUUUAUUUCAUCCUCCCUGCCCGCUGUCGGGAUGGUGAGUUCUGUUUUGCACCUGGAGCCUCCCCGUGAGCUGAUCCGGUCCAGGUUGCCCCAAACAUCUACCCUGAGAUAGCAACAAGUGGAC
This 852-nucleotide long non-coding RNA is filed under the name Dasypus novemcinctus (nine-banded armadillo). Its description in RNAcentral is "lncRNA (ENSDNOG00000052007.1)". The record is from RNAcentral. Lineage: Eukaryota; Metazoa; Chordata; Mammalia; Cingulata; Dasypodidae.